RNAcentral lists this ribosomal RNA (779 nucleotides) under Staphylococcus hominis. RNAcentral describes it as "bacterial SSU rRNA". It matches the Rfam family "Bacterial small subunit ribosomal RNA", at positions 59 to 820 of the family's 1533-position model. Lineage: Bacteria; Bacillati; Bacillota; Bacilli; Caryophanales; Staphylococcaceae. The record is from RNAcentral.
CAGUCGAGCGAACAGAUAAGGAGCUUGCUCCUUUGACGUUAGCGGCGGACGGGUGAGUAACACGUGGGUAACCUACCUAUAAGACUGGAAUAACUCCGGGAAACCGGGGCUAAUGCCGGAUAACAUAUAGAACCGCAUGGUUCUAUAGUGAAAGAUGGUUUUGCUAUCACUUAUAGAUGGACCCGCGCCGUAUUAGCUAGUUGGUAAGGUAAUGGCUUACCAAGGCGACGAUACGUAGCCGACCUGAGAGGGUGAUCGGCCACACUGGAACUGAGACACGGUCCAGACUCCUACGGGAGGCAGCAGUAGGGAAUCUUCCGCAAUGGGCGAAAGCCUGACGGAGCAACGCCGCGUGAGUGAUGAAGGGUUUCGGCUCGUAAAACUCUGUUAUUAGGGAAGAACAUAUGUGUAAGUAACUGUGCACAUCUUGACGGUACCUAAUCAGAAAGCCACGGCUAACUACGUGCCAGCAGCCGCGGUAAUACGUAGGUGGCAAGCGUUAUCCGGAAUUAUUGGGCGUAAAGCGCGCGUAGGCGGUUUCUUAAGUCUGAUGUGAAAGCCCACGGCUCAACCGUGGAGGGUCAUUGGAAACUGGGAAACUUGAGUGCAGAAGAGGAAAGUGGAAUUCCAUGUGUAGCGGUGAAAUGCGCAGAGAUAUGGAGGAACACCAGUGGCGAAGGCGACUUUCUGGUCUGUAACUGACGCUGAUGUGCGAAAGCGUGGGGAUCAAACAGGAUUAGAUACCCUGGUAGUCCACGCCGUAAACGAUGAGUGCUAAG